AACCUUAUCACCACUCAUUCCUUCAUUCCCGCAAAUACUGAGCGCCUGCAAAAUGCUCUGCACUAUUCUGGAUGCGGGAGAUGAAAACUACCCUGGUUCUUGUCCAGUGGGGUAAAUAGGUGUGCCUACCAUCUCUUGUGCCCUCGGGGCCAUGGGAGCUGCUUGCGUGCAUGCCUGAGAGUCCUUCUUGCCGUGGGAACCGAGGAAUCACUCAGGCCCCAGGCUGCCAGGUGGGGAAACUGAGGCCCAGACAGAGUGCAUCUUGUCCAGAGGAUCUGGUCAGCAGCUCACCAGGCGUGAACCCUCUGAGUCACCCUGCUGGGUGUGGAGGACAGGCACAAUGGAAGAAGAGCCCCUCUCCCCCCACAUCAGAAGGCUACUAGUCUGAUGGUGGAGGCUCUGGACCCACCAGGAGUGAAGGUGGAAACACUGGAGGUCAAAUUAGGGAGUGUGUGUCUGAGCUGAAAAGGGGGCCUCUGCCACCAUGGAAGUGCUCCACCCCCAAGGCUAUUGUGAACAAAGGGUAAUCCAAGCACUUCUGGGGAGCUCACCUUUCCCUAGCUGUGGAUGAACAAAUCAGAACAUUGUGAGAAGUCAGAUGUCUUCUUCCUUUUGAGGACUGCACACAAGGGAUCCCCCUUCACCCACCUGGGUUUGGCCCACAAGGCUGGGUCCCUUCCUCCAUGUUCCCUUCACGUGUUCCAAGAUUUGGAUCAUACAGUAAAGGAGAGAUGAAAGAGCAGUGAAAGAUGUACCCAUCCAUGACAGAGGAAACUGACCUGGGCCUGGUCCCAGGACUUGCUGACACAUGCUGUAACGUGGAUGAACCUUGAAAAUGUCAUGUUAGGUGAAGAAGCCAGUCAUAAAAGACCGCUUAGAGGUCAGAGUUCCUGUCGUGGCUCAGUGGUUAACGAAUCCAACUAGGAACCACGAGGUUGCGAGUUUGAUCCCCGGCCUUGCUCAGUGGGUUAAGGAUCCAGUGUUGCCGUGAGCUGUGGUGUAGGUCACAGACGCGGCUCGGAUCCUGAGUUGCUGUGGCUGUGGUGUAGGCCAGUGGCUACAGCUCCAAAUACACCUCUAGCCUGGGAACUUCCAUAUGCCGUGGGUGCAGCCCUAGAAAAAGGC
Molecule: non-coding RNA, 1125 nt
Organism: Sus scrofa (pig)
Lineage: Eukaryota; Metazoa; Chordata; Mammalia; Artiodactyla; Suidae
Source: RefSeq, a predicted model, not a curated record